Molecule: long non-coding RNA, 429 nt
Organism: Salvia miltiorrhiza (redroot sage)
Lineage: Eukaryota; Viridiplantae; Streptophyta; Magnoliopsida; Lamiales; Lamiaceae
Exons: 2
Source: RefSeq, a predicted model, not a curated record
UGGAUGAAGCUGUGCAACAGGUUCACGAGAUUUAUUCACCCAAACGCUUCAUUCUGCUCAAGCCCAAAUACCUUCCAUGGAGACGACAGAGUAUCAGCGCAAAUAAAUAACUGCUUCCAUGAAUUUUUUAAUAUCACAGGGAGUGGCGGAUAGGCAAGCAAGAUGAAACAGUGAAAUUACGCCGGGCCCUGCCUUAUUUUCGGGCCGUGUGUGAAACGUAGCAAGACCUACCAAACGAAAGGUUAAGUCGGUAUAGCUUUGCUAAGCCGGUAUCCCAAUAUAUUAAUUGGGACAUUACAAAGGGAAUACUUAUUAUUUAUGAAAUGUGAUCAAUUUUAGAUAUACAAAAGAAUCUUGUCAAACUAAUUGACCACGAAAAUAAUAUGUUAAUGAAUAAUAAACAUUAUGAAUUAUUUAAUUUUUUUUUAA